CUCUUGCUCUUGCUCUUGCUCUUCCUCCUCCUCUCUGUGGAGCUGCCAUGUGAGCCCUGGAAGACAGGACGCCUUCCACCAGUGUACUCCAUAAGGGGCACUUGCACUUCAUGUUUUCCUGAACACAGCAUGGGAAAAGCCAGUGUAUCUGACAUGCCAGGACCUAAGAACACAGGACUUUCAAUCGGUGUCCAUCACUCUCCAUUGCCUCUGCUGCAAUGUCCUUUCAGCUGGAAUGUCACAGAGGCUCCUUCUGGAAGGCACGUGGGGAGCAGUCACUGGGCUGCAUGGUCUAGUCAAGUCCUGGGAUGUCCUCUGGUCACUGCUUGGCCUUCUUCACAAUGGUGCCCACAGCAGAAAUGGUGGUGGUCUUGGAGCUGCUGGCACUGGUGGUGACAGUGACCGCUGCUGGCAGCGUGGCUGUGGUAGUAAGGAUGGUGGAUUGUGCUAUUAUUGUCACUGGAAUGGCAGAGUCCCACUUGCUCUUUCUCUUUUGGGCAUCUGCAACAGCUGUGCAGGCAGUAGUGGUGGUGGUAGCUGAGGCAUUGGUCAUGGUGCCUUUCUUGGUGCCCGGCACAAACUCAAUUUUGGUUUGCUACUUUUUGGCGAUUUCCAAUUUGUCCAUUUCAAUCUUCUAGGCCUUAGCUAGCUCCUCAUAGUAGGAAUCUUCAGACCAUCCAUGCGGGUCAAAUAUAUCCUUUGGAUAGUUGGUGCCCAGCUCAUCAAUGGCACAGAACUGGAUCAGUUUCUCAUAGAUGCUGGGGUUCUGGAACGCCUUCUUCCUUUGGAUGAUAUAGUUCAUAUCCAUUCCCUCCUUUGUCUUUUGAUUAUAAAGCUUCUGGGUCUUAUCUUGCAGGUGAUUUGAACAUCUGCUGGGUGGUUAUGGUGGGAUCUUGAUUUUACCAGAUGACAUGUUUCAGACCCUUUCAGAAAAGGAGGCCACUAAUUCCUGGGGAUCCCUCUUCUCUACUUGUGUAUUAUCCUUUGAGUCAUCAGCCUCAGGUUUUUCAGUCUCUGAAUCAUCAUCUUCCAACUGCUUGCUGUUCUCACCCUCAUCUUCUUCAUAACCAUCUUCACCCCCUAGGCAGGAGAAGUCAUCUUCUCCUCAGGCAUCAGACACCAGGCCACCUUUCUCUUCAGCCGCGCCGCCCACAGCGUCAACUCAAGCUUCAUCAUCAGGUUCAGGCUCUGAGUCUUCUGCAUAAACUGCAAUAGACAACAAAACGUUCUUCCCCACCAUCUUAUUCCCUCAGGACGGUGUGGCCCUGAGAAAGUUUUUUAUUCCUUUCUAUGGAUGGGGCCAGACUUCAAAGAGACCACAUGUCAAGAUGUUCCCUGUUCCAACAUGAUUUCAUUUCACCUGAGAACCAAACCUGUCCCAUGAGGCCUUCAAGCAUGCUCCACAGAUUUGCUUGGAGUGAAUUUAUCCCUUCCAAAUCAACUAGAACCUAAAGGCUUUGUGAAUUCCAGCCUAAUGUCAUGUUGCCAUCAGCAAUAAUGCUGAUCAGGACAAUUAUUCUCCCUCAGAAGCCUUAAGCUCUCUAUAUAGCGCUGUUCCAGGCCACCAUGUCCUGUCUAGCAUUUUGAACCCAUGCUGUCUCUAGCAGUUUCCCACCAGACAUCACAGCUCCUUCUGGCAGGAACACUUGUCUCUCUGCUAUUUUAAUUUGAAUUUUACUGAUAACCCCAUGGAUGAGAACCACACACACACUGCUUAUUUGUAUCAAUUACACAUCUUUCUCUUGGAGUUGCUCUUUUAAAUAGAAUGAAUCACUUGUACAUACUAGACAUUAAUCUGGUACGUUUUAGAGAUUGGAAAGCCUGUCCUAUUUGCCACAUACAGUUAAAAUUGUGAAAGGGCUUCCAUACCAUUUUAUUAGUCACAGUGAAUAAUGUAAGUGCCUUUGAUAAGUCUAGUUUUCAGAAAAAUAAACUCAGCCUCACAGAUACUAUUUCCCUAGACAGUCAAGUAGAGAGGUAAGAAUCAAAUUCAGGCCACAUAUUCUGACUAGUGGAAUUGGUGCUGUGAUGGUCCUCUUCAAGACCAAACUAUGAGAAAACCUGACAAAUGGUCGUGACCUGAGCCCAGGGUCAUACAGUCAUUCUUGGUCUGGCCCAGCACUUACUAAAUUUGAAUUGAGGAUUAUUAAAGGAAGGAGAUUCUGUUUCAUUAAAAUUUGAUUCAAAUUUUAGGUCAAAUUCAUAAGAAAAAAUUUAAGGUUUUGUUCAAUCUCAUGUAGUCUCUUUUUUUCAUUCUGUGACUACAGUCUGAAUUGCUUGUUCAGAACACACCUGAGGCCACCGUGUGCCCUGUGCCACAGUACAUACUCCUUUUAUAUCUUCCUGGGGAGUGUGGAAACAUCUGGUGUCAAGGAGCCCUGCUUUGUUUGGUCUUGCAGAAACCACCCUUUUAAAACCAGUGGGAUGGCUUGUAGAGAAAUCUCAGUUAAAAAUGGACUUGUCAUGCAAGCAUGAGAACAUGAUUUCAAUUCCCAAUACUCAAGGGGUGGGGGGAAUCCAGGUAUGGAAGUGUGUACCUAUAAAUCCUAGAAUGGGGGAAACAGAGAUCUUUGUGAUUUUCUGACUAGUCAAUUUAUGAGGGGCCAGGUUUAGUGAGAGACCUGUCUCAAAAAAAUUAAUAAGGUGGAGAGCAGUUAAAGACAUUUCAUUGACCCCUGGUUUCUGCAUGCAUGUGUGCACACAUAUGUACACACAUGUACACAUACACACAUGAACAUACACAAACAAAAACACUUCAGACAUUGAGGCCA
RNAcentral lists this long non-coding RNA (2771 nucleotides) under Cricetulus griseus (Chinese hamster). RNAcentral's name for it is "lncRNA (ENSCGRG00015034769.1)". The record is from RNAcentral. Lineage: Eukaryota; Metazoa; Chordata; Mammalia; Rodentia; Cricetidae.